CUCUCAGAAGAAACAUGCCGAAGAGAAACUCAUUUCUCUUCUUCUUUUUCUUCGCCGUUCUUCGCUUUUUUUCUUCUCAACUUAUUCUUUUUUGUUGUUCUUCGCUCUUUUUUUUUUUCAGUUCUCAAUAGCAUGAACUGAGAAAUCGUUCAUCUCAAUUAAGAAGAAGUCUGGAGAAGUAAAUGGAUCAGGAAGGUUUUACUAAGGUGGUGAUUUGAUUUUGAUUAGGGUUCUUAUUGAUUGAAGAACGACGAAUCAGGAGGAAAUAAAAUUAGGGUUUCUGGAGUUAGUAUUGAGUUUGUGCAAAAUCGAAGGAGGAAUUGGUGGAUUGAAUAACAGAAAGAGGAGAUGGUGGACUUGUAUUAACUCAGGGUAUAAAGGCUAAGGUGAAUCAGAGGCAGGAAGUUAGGGUUUGGAAAUUGAUUUAAGUUUCGAUUUAGUGAUAGAUAAGAAGAAAUCAAAGACUGGGUUUGGUGGUUUGAGAUUUGAAUCGAUGUUUUGAACUUUGAUUAGAGAGAAGAAGGUAGUUUUGUUGCAUUUGAGCUGAGAUUUUUCAAGGUUGAAGAGAUGGUAGUUUUGCUGUUGAUCUCUCGAUGGAAAAUAUGAUGAGGACUUGGACAAUACAGGGUUGGUGGUGAAUCUGUGUGGUCUGAGCUCAAGAUAAUAUGGUGAUUGAAUGGUGUAGUGAAAGGGUAGGUGUUGAUUUCAGCUGAAAAGGUCUGAGUAUGGAGAUGCAGUGAUGUUGGUAUGCAGAAGCUGGCUUGAGAAUGUGUGCAGAUUUCUUGCAGGGAGAAUGGUUGUUGUAGUAGUAGAUGCAAUGGAAUAGAAAAUGGAGCCAAUGAUGCUACAGGAUGAGUCAGUGUUGGUAGUUGUUGUGCAGGCAAGAAGCUACAAAAGGAUUUGGUGGUGAUUGAAUUUGGUUGAAGUUGAUGCUGUUAUUGGUUUGCAAGCAGCUGCUGCAGGAGAUGGAACUGGUGGGAAUGAAUGAGAAUGAUUGUUGCAGUGGAUAAUUUUCAAGGUUUUGGUGCCGCUGUUGGUAUUAGGCAAAUGGUUAGUGGAUGGUUAGAUGAGACUGAAAUGGUGUUGCAGCUACAGAUGGGUGCAAAUGAACUGAAGUUGGUGGUUAUUAUGAUGAAGUUGCUAUUGCAGUUGCAAGUGGUGGCUGCGUCAGGUGGUGCUGAGUAUGGUUGUGAAUUGCAAGUGUUAGCCAUGGUCACAAUGGUUGUGCGAAAGCUGUUCAAACUGGUAGAUCACCACAUGCUAAUCACCAUAGGUCAUUGAAGAACUAGAAGGUCUUGCCCAUGAAGACUGGAAGGUCUUGCCCAUGAAGUCCUACUGUGGUACUUAUGUAGAAUGGAAGCAUGGUUCGCUGCAGAUGCAUACAAGAUAUCAAUGAAAAACUGGGACCAGUUUCCACAUGAAGGACCGAUGUGUGAUCUUUUAUGGUAUGAUCCUGACCGUUGUGGGUGAGGAAUUUCUUCUUAGGAGAUGGCAGCUCCAAUAUAUGUACCGGUAGGAAGGCAACCGACACAAACUGCUCCUCAGAGGAACAAUGCUGAGGAAGAUGCGUUGGUUGCACUCUUGGUUCUGCCUCAGUUGGUGGUGAUCCCUCUUAAAUGGGAUCCAUUCAUGGCUAUACAAUGUCACCGUUACCUAUGAAAAGGCCUUUCGGCCCACUUUGCUCUGAUGGUUUUGCAGUUCUGCUACACAUUGAAUUAUUACUGCAAAAGACCAUGCUUCCACUGCCGUUACAGCGUUAAGUGGUGGGUGAAGAAAGUUGUCGAAGCUGGAAAAGCUAGAAGUGCAAAUGGUACCCACCAGGAAGUCUAACUUACCUGACAGGUGCAUCUUAUGUUGCUGAUUUAGAGCAUUUGCUUACCUUUGUUCUAUUGCUGCAGGUAACUAACUAAUAACAGUUUUCAAGGGGAAAUUCCAUCUCAAUUGACUUGGUAUUAUGAACUUAAAUACAGGGAUUAUGGAGAACUUGAUCAAGAAUGCAACCAAUGUUUUGAGUGAAAUGACUGAACAAGGAGCAAUAGCAGCAACAACAAAUUCUUGCACCGCAGCAUCAGCAGCAGAUUCUAAUACCACAGCAACAACAGCUCCAGUUGCAAUUGCAACUUCAGCAAUUUCCACUACAGACACGUUCAUGGAGCCAAAUCAGUUACCACAAGCAGUAUGGGUUUGGAAUUAUGAACUUAAAGCCAGGGAUUAUGGAGAACUUGAUGAAGAGUGCUUAGCAACUAAUGUUUGGGAAGUAUUUGCAAGUUUUGAGUAAGUUCUUAUGUAGUAUGUGAGUUGAACUUAUAGCGAAUUAAGUGAAAAUAUAGUGAACUUGUUUUAUGUAUUCCAUUUGGUACUUGAAGAAUUUGUAUUCCUUUCUGAUGUGAAUACUUAUAUGAAUUGAUUGAAUGUUAAUAUGAAUUGAUUGCGAAA
RNA transcript from Papaver somniferum (opium poppy), 2436 nucleotides. RefSeq lists it as uncharacterized. The record is from RefSeq and is a predicted model, not a curated record. The transcript is spliced from 9 exons. Lineage: Eukaryota; Viridiplantae; Streptophyta; Magnoliopsida; Ranunculales; Papaveraceae.